GUCGAAGUUCGGAGCGACUCUGUCGACAAGGGUUUGGUAAACGCGCCAGCAUGACUCGGAGGCGUUGAGGGGCGGCAGGAAGUUUCCGGUGCGUUUGAGGUAUUGUGAAUCCACGAGACGAAGGCCCUUUUUAACGUUCUGACACUGCGAGGGCAGGUCACUCGGAGUCUUGAACUGGGACAUCAGCUGCUGUAAGAAGUUGAAGUCAAGCGGGCACGAAACGGUGGCGUUUCGUUGUGCCGCGGCCGUUGUUGUGGAGGCCGCCAGGAAAAGAAUGAGAACAAGGCCUCGUAAGAAUGACAUCGGCAUCGACAUCUCGGGGACGGGGAGAGAUACCGGGGGGUGUUGGUAGCAGUACAGAGACAACAAAGACAACAAUAAGGAAAAGCAUGUGCACGUGCUUGUGCUUGGGGAUUGUGGUGCAAUUUGAGUAAACUAGUGUAAUUUGAGUUGGGAGUUUGACUAAUCACUAGUAAAUUCCCUAUGGCAUGCAACGGGUGAUGGCGGCAGGCAAGGCAAACACAGCCAGCCAGUUAUGACAGUUGAUUAGCUUAACCUACUGCAAAUUUGAAGCUUCAGAGAAGGUGAGAUAGUUCAAUUCAUUUGAUUUCGUUCAAUAAAAAUAUAAUAAAUAAAAGUUAUUGCUUCCUUACUUACCUAGUUUGUUAAUUUUCAACGCCUUAUUUUUGUCUGUCAAUAGAAACUUCAAGUCCAUUCAUCAAAUUGUCAAUUAUAUUAUUAGUCAAUUUAUUACGUGUUUGAUUCGAAUUUGUGUGUGAAAGUUCAAGAAAGGGGUGCAAUAACAUGUUUUAACUGUAGGGGAGGAUUAGUUAUUUUUUAUCUUACAGGCGGAAUAGGGUGUUAUUAUAAUGGGCUGCUCUGGAUCUGAAAGGAGACUCUUCUUAAAAAAAAAAUGAAAGAGACAAAAGAAAAUUGCAAAGACAUGUCAUCAAUUUCUAAGUCUUAACAAGGAGGUCUCCUUCUCCUUCUCGUAUGGCCUUUUAUUUUAUUUUAUUUUUUUUUUGAGUUAGAUAGGAAGUCUCUGUCUUGUCUUAAACUUGAUGUUCUGUAAGAUGUUCCAUUGGUCCGAAUUAUUGCACUAUCUUUUCAUCAGGUACUGUAUUUUAUAUAAAUAUAUUCUCAUGUCACAUAAAAUUCGAUGCAAAGUUUAUUGGGAUUUAAUGACAUCAAUAAAUCAUCAAUAAAUCCUCCUUUGUUUAUCUAUUCUUUUAGACUUUCUUGUACAACCUUAUUUCUCUUUUCCUUAUGGGGAAUGCUAUUCGAACGUCUAUCCAUUUUACCAUUUAAAGUGAAAAGCGCUUGUACAAAAGACAAUAAUACUAGGGAGAUCUUAGUAGUAGUAUUUGAGUUUUAAUCCAAAUUUUAUUAUCAUGUAUCAUUUAUUUAUUAGAUAAUAAAUUUCAUAACUUAUACAUUAUUUGACCACCAUCUGAUAAAUCAAUACUCCUAUAAAAAUAGUUAUGGAUGGAACAAUAACAUUCACAUCACUCAUUUUUCAUGUGUUAUCAUAAAAGCAUGUUGUUUGUUCAUUUUGUAAAAAUACCCUUAACCCAUGUUUGGUUGGAAGAAAUGGUAGGAGCGGAAAGGAAAGAAUGGGAGAGAAAAUGAGUGAAAAUGAGUGAAAAAGAAUGUCAAUUUCAUUUUUAUUGUUUGGAUGGUCAAAAAUUAUUACUAGAAAAUAGACCGCGAAGAAUUGAAGAAUUACAGAUGAAUGUACAAAAAGAACUUAAUUGUGUGAAUCGAAAAAUAAACAUUGCUAUUACACGAAUUACAAAUCCUUAUGGACACCCCAAUAUUCUUGCCGAAUUUAUAGCCGGCUGCUGUACGGCCAAGGCGGAUGUACGGUACAGCAGUUAAAAAAUACUAUAAUAUUUUACAAUCUAUUAGAUAAAUUUUAUUAUAUUAAAAAAAGUUUUAGAAUAAAUGAAAACAUAAUAUUAAAAUAAGUAUAAAAAAUUCAAAAUAUUUGGGAUACUAUGUAAAAUAAUUUUAAUAUUAUUAAUGCGUGCAAUAUAUUUUAUUAAAUGUAAAGUAUAUUUAACUCAGAGAUUUAUUUAAAAUCUUUGUAAUAGAUUCAUGAAAGUAUUAAAAUAAUAUAGUGAUAUAAAUUAUUUUUAAAUAUUUUACUUUUAUUAAUUUAUUAAAUAGAUUAAAUUAUUUGUGUUUAUGUAUAUUUACUCAAAUAUUUAAAGUUAAUUAUUUUAAUCAUUAUAUUUAAAAGGUAUUAUUUAACUUUAUUUAUAAAAAAAUUUAGAGAUAUGUAUGACCAUUUUCAUAAAUUUUACGGGUAAUGAUUCCUUUUUCGUAAAUAAAUAAAUUAAUUAAAAAUGGAGAAAGGUUUGGCAGAGUUGUGUUUGGCUUGAGAUUCCUUUUGACAAGCAAUUCUUGACGGGAAAAUGAGUUGGUUGUUUGUCUUUUAUCCCCAAAGAUGUGAGACUGAUUCAAGUUAUUUACGCAUCCUGUCCAUUAUCCAACAACAAUUCUGGUGACGACAGUGAUCUGAUCUACUACCCAUUUUAAUUAGUAAUAAAUUAGGUACAGCUAGCCACCGAUUUAGAAAGGAGAGUUGGCAACAGCAUUGGUUCACUCCUGAAAAAAUAUUAAAAAAAUAAAUCGAGAGUUGCAAUUUGCCAUUUGUUUCGAUGAUUAUUCAAAAGUGGUUGUUUUGGGAUACAUUUGAAUAAAGGAAUGCAGGCCUUGGAGAAAUAAUAAUAAUAAUAAUGAACAACAUAUAUGAGAUCCUCGGUUGGCCUCUCCACAUCGACAUCUAUAGAUGCAGUCUCGGAUCCUCAAGAAGCAACAAUGUUAAAUGCAUAUCACUCACAAUAUCCCGUAAUAACACAAUCUUAUGAGCAAAAUUUGCAAAAACACCAAAACCACACAGGACCUUAGUAAAUGAAAACACCUGCUAUUCAUAUACAAGUAGAAUUUUAGCUUUGUUAUCACGAUGCACCCUACUUGAAAAGAAUCAACUUUGAAUUAUGCAUCUAUGUACUCUUUACAAGGUGGAACAUGAUUCAAAUUUCAAGAACCACGAAAGCUAUAUAAAAAAUAUAUCAAGGCCAACAAAACCAUCGGUGCAGACACCGGUAAUUACAACAAUUCUACUGGUUUGGAACCAGAGUUUCUCACUUCUUCCUUAUGACUGGAAUCAGAGAUUCUCACUUCUUCCUUAUGACUAGAAGGGCGCUCAAUUUCAGUAAAAGCCUGAUAGCCGGUAUAACUUGAGAACUGACCUGAGCCACUAUUACUGCUCAUAGACUUCUCAAUCUCAUCUAUCUCAGCUACAAGAGAAAUUGGUCGUUCUGGGAUUGUGGGAACAGACUGCUCAGUUUCCAACAUUUUCACGACCUGAUCCAUCGUUGGCCUGGCAUAUAACUGUGGAUGGGAACAAAGAACGGCAAUCGUUACAUACUUCUCUAGAACUUCGGGUACACCCAUCUCUGGCAUACCAUCUUCAAUAACAUCCAGAGCUCUCCCCUCCUUCACCAAUGACCAAGCCCAGUCCGUCACAAGAGAAGCUUGGCCAUCAUCAUUCAUAAUGAGUGCCUUCCUGCCACUCAAAAGCUCCAGAAGCACAACACCAAAGCUGUACACAUCACUCCUGUCAGUCAAUUGCCCAUACAAAGCAUACUCAGGAGCAAGAUAUCCCAUUGUCCCAGCCACCCUAGUACUCAAAUGAGUGAGCCCCUCCGGCGUAAACUUUGCAAGCCCAAAAUCCCCCACCUUCGCCUCAAACUUCUCAUCCAAUAAUAUAUUACUAGCUUUAAUAUCCCUGUGAAAAAUUGCCGGCUGUGCACCAAAAUGCAAAUAGGCCAAUCCCCUUGCCGUCCCAAGAGCAAUCGACUGCCUAAGAUGCCAACUAAGCUUCGGCCCAUUGGAAGCAAACAAAUGAUCAUAAACGCUUCCAUUCUUCAUCAAAUCACAGACAAUAAUUCUCUGGUGACCCUCUAACUGAGUAGUGGCAAUACAAUAACCUCUCAAAGCAACAAGAUUGACAUGCCUAACGCUAGCAAUAACCUCCACCUCAUGCUUGAAAGUUGCAUCACCCGCCGCGGAACAAUUCUUGAACCUCUUCAAAGCAACCUCAGAGCCAUCGGGCAAAAGCCCUUUGUAGACAUUACCAUAACCUCCUCUCCCAAUGAUAUUAUCCCUUGAGAAAUUCCGAGUAGCUUUCUUAAUGUCAUCAAAUGUGAACCUGACCAAAUUAGUACUCUCAUGAAUAGACUCCAAUCCCAUUUCAAUUCUAUUAACCUCUUCUCGUUCCCUCUUCUUUCUUCUGUUAGAAACCACACGCUUACGCCAAAAGAUCCAAACCCCACCAGAAAUUAGCAACAACCCAACAACACAAACAACCAAAACCCCGGCAAUUAAGCCCUUGUUCUUCUUCUUACUCUUCUUUGAUGAUUCAGUUACCUCAAAUGAGAACAAACACUUAGCAGUGCCCCUAUCGGUGGGACCAAACUGAUUGACGGCCGCGGCGGCGUAAAUGAAGGGAUAGGCCAGACAAUCAGACAAGUUCCCAACGGAAGGCCCGGUCAAAUAGGCCUGCAAGCGGGCCAAGCUGGUAGUACAAGCAGCACAAGGGGCACUAUUCCCCAAGGACUGGUUACAGUUGGAAACGACGUCGUCGAGAGUGGACUGGGGGAUCAAUCUCUCGAACUGGGAUCUCGUGGAGAUGUUCAUACAGCCUUCAGAGAUCCAAUCGGUUUGGAAGCCGCAGCGGGAGCGUACGUCGAAGUUCGGGGCGACUCUGUCGACAAGGGUUUGGUAAACGCGCCAGCAUGACUCGGAGGCGUUGAGGGGCGGCAGGAAGUUUCCGGAGCGUUUGAGGUAUUGUGAAUCCACGAGACGAAGGCCCUUUUUAACUUCCUGACACUGCGAGGGCAGGUCACUCGGAGUCUUGAACUGGGACAUCAGCUGCUGUAAGAAGUUGAAGUCAAGCGGGCACGAAACGGUGGCGUUUCGUUGUGCCGCGGCCGUUGUUGUGGAG
This 5014-nucleotide long non-coding RNA is filed under the name Citrus sinensis (sweet orange). Its description in RNAcentral is "long non-coding RNA (CSIN_LNC002389)". Lineage: Eukaryota; Viridiplantae; Streptophyta; Magnoliopsida; Sapindales; Rutaceae. The record is from RNAcentral.